RNAcentral lists this ribosomal RNA (295 nucleotides) under uncultured Latescibacterota bacterium. RNAcentral describes it as "uncultured Latescibacteria bacterium partial 16S ribosomal RNA". It matches the Rfam family "Bacterial small subunit ribosomal RNA", at positions 1091 to 1382 of the family's 1533-position model. The record is from RNAcentral. Lineage: Bacteria; Pseudomonadati; Candidatus Latescibacterota.
AACGAGCGCAACCCUUAUCCCCAGUUGCCAUCAGGUAAAGCUGGGAACUCUGGGGAGACUGCCGGUGAGUAAACCGGAGGAAGGCGGGGAAUGACGUCAAGUCCUCAUGGCCCUUACGAUCCCGGGCUACACACGUGCUACAAUGGCAGGUACAGAGGGCUGCAAAGCCGCGAGGUAGAGCGAAUCCCAGAAAACCUGUCUCAGUCCGGAUUGAAGUCUGCAACUCGACUUCAUGAAGGCGGAAUCGCUAGUAACCGCGAAUCAGCAGGUCGCGGUGAAUACGUUCCCGGGCCUU